UCCUAUUUAACUGGAGUUAGAAGUGUGAUAGUAGAAGGUAUCAUGCUGGACAAAAUUGAGUAUCAAAUGAUAUGGUUCCUUUAUUUUCAAGGAAAAUCUACACAAACAAUCCACAAAGAAAUGUCAGCUGUUUAUGAAAAGGAAUGUCCAUCAUAUGAGACUGAAAUGAUGGAAAAGGGAAUUUUAAAUGUGGUCACAUCAGCCUGCGGGAUGAUCCAAGAGAAGGCAGUCCAGCAAGAUCAUAUCUGUGUUUUGGGACAAAAGACAGAUAGGACAAGGUAGAGGUAUCAUAUUGAUUUAGAUUACUUACUAAAUGGAUCAACAGUAAUGGGCAUACUACAGAAACUUGCUACAAAAGUUACAGUAUAAUAUCAACAUGAAAAAAAAUGUGAUUUCUGUCAAUAGAUAUGUUCCUGCCAGCUGACAAUGCACCUGCACAUUGAACUGCAGAAACAAUCAUUUUUCUAUGCAGAUAUUGCUAUGAGAUCUUGCCCCAUCCCUGU
RNAcentral lists this long non-coding RNA (503 nucleotides) under Androctonus crassicauda. The record is from RNAcentral. Lineage: Eukaryota; Metazoa; Arthropoda; Arachnida; Scorpiones; Buthidae.